This 1518-nucleotide ribosomal RNA is filed under the name uncultured Planctomycetota bacterium. RNAcentral's name for it is "uncultured planctomycete partial 16S ribosomal RNA". It matches the Rfam family "Bacterial small subunit ribosomal RNA". The record is from RNAcentral. Lineage: Bacteria; Pseudomonadati; Planctomycetota.
AGAGUUUGAUCAUGGCUCAGAACGAACGCUGGCGGCGUGGUUAAGGCAUGCAAGUCGAACGGAUUUUGUCUUUGGGUAACCGAGGGCAAAAUUAGUGGCGAACGGGUGAGUAAUGCAUGGGUAACGUACCCCGGACACAGGGAUAGCGGCGUCUCCCGAGCAAUCGGGUGACUUUGCGAAAGUGCCGGUAAUACCUGAUGACCUCGACGGAUCGCAUGUUCCGUCGGGCAAAGGUCCGCCGGUCUGGGAGCGACCCAUGUCCUAUCAGCUUGUUGGUGGGGUAAUGGCCUACCAAGGCGACGACGGGUAGCCGGCGUGAGAGCGUGACCGGCCACAUCGGGACUGAGACACUGCCCGGACACCUACGGGUGGCUGCAGCAACGAAUAUUCCGCAAUGGGCGAAAGCCUGACGGAGCGACGCCGCGUGCAGGAUGAAGUCUUUCGAGAUGUAAACUGCUGUCAGGGGCGAGGAAAAAAAUGACCAGCCCCAAAGGAAGCCUCGGCUAAUUCCGUGCCAGCAGCCGCGGUAAUACGGAAGAGGCGAGCGUUGUUCGGAAUUAUUGGGCUUAAAGAGCGUGUAGGCGGGACGUCAGGUGCCUUGUGAAAUCCCACGGCUCAACCGUGGAAUUGCUUGGCAAACCGGCAUCCUUGAGGCAAGUAGGGGCGACUGGAACCUUCGGUGGAGCGGUGAAAUGCGUAGAUAUCGAAGGGAACGCCGGUGGCGAAAGCGGGUCGCUGGGCUUGUCCUGACGCUGAGACGCGAAAGCGUAGGUAGCAAACAGGAUUAGAUACCCUGGUAGUCUACGCCGUAAACGAUGCGCACUAGACUGGAGGACCUCUGACGGUCAUCGAGUCGAAGCAAAAGUGUUAAGUGCGCCGCCUGGGGAGUACGGCCGCAAGGCUAAAACUCAAAGGAAUUGACGGGGGCUCACACAAGCGGUGGAGCAUGUGGAUCAAUUCGAAGCAACGCGAAGAACCUUACCUGGGUUUGACAUGUACGGAUGCUCUUCUGGAAACAGGAGUAGGCUGCCUUCGGGUGAAACGUGCGCAGGUGCUGCAUGGCUGUCGUCAGCUCGUGCUGUGAAGUGUUGGGUUAAGUCCCGUAACGAGCGAAACCCUUGUCGUUAGUUGCCAGCGGGUCAUGCCGGGAACUCUAGCGAGACUGCCGGUGUUAAACCGGAGGAAGGUGGGGAUGACGUCAAGUCCUCAUGGCCUUUAUGCCCAGGGUGUCACACGUGCUACAAUGGGGCGUACAAAGCGACGCGAUACCGUGAGGUGGAGCAAAUCGCAAAAAGCAGUUCUCAGUUCGGAUUGAAGUCUGCAACUCGACUUCAUGAAGUUGGAAUCGCUAGUAAUCGUGGAUCAGCAUGCCACGGUGAAUACGUUCCCGGGCCUUGUACACACCGCCCGUCACACCACGAAAGUCGACUGUACCAGAAGUUGCUGGGCUAACCCCGGUUUCGGGGAGGCAGGUACCUAAGGUAUGGCCGGUAAUUGGGGUGAAGUCGUAACAAGGUA